Molecule: ribosomal RNA, 1437 nt
Filed under: Helicobacter pylori
Lineage: Bacteria; Pseudomonadati; Campylobacterota; Epsilonproteobacteria; Campylobacterales; Helicobacteraceae
Description: bacterial SSU rRNA
Rfam family: Bacterial small subunit ribosomal RNA
Source: RNAcentral
UGAACGCUGGCGGCGUGCCUAAUACAUGCAAGUCGAACGAUGAAGCUUCUAGCUUGCUAGAAUGCUGAUUAGUGGCGCACGGGUGAGUAACGCAUAGGUUAUGUGCCUCUUAGUUUGGGAUAGCCAUUGGAAACGAUGAUUAAUACCAGAUACUCCCUACGGGGGAAAGAUUUAUCGCUAAGAGAUCAGCCUAUGUCCUAUCAGCUUGUUGGUAAGGUAAUGGCUUACCAAGGCUAUGACGGGUAUCCGGCCUGAGAGGGUGAACGGACACACUGGAACUGAGACACGGUCCAGACUCCUACGGGAGGCAGCAGUAGGGAAUAUUGCUCAAUGGGGGAAACCCUGAAGCAGCAACGCCGCGUGGAGGAUGAAGGUUUUAGGAUUGUAAACUCCUUUUGUUAGAGAAGAUAAUGACGGUAUCUAACGAAUAAGCACCGGCUAACUCCGUGCCAGCAGCCGCGGUAAUACGGAGGGUGCAAGCGUUACUCGGAAUCACUGGGCGUAAAGAGCGCGUAGGCGGGAUAGUCAGUCAGGUGUGAAAUCCUAUGGCUUAACCAUAGAACUGCAUUUGAAACUACUAUUCUAGAGUGUGGGAGAGGUAGGUGGAAUUCUUGGUGUAGGGGUAAAAUCCGUAGAGAUCAAGAGGAAUACUCAUUGCGAAGGCGACCUGCUGGAACAUUACUGACGCUGAUUGCGCGAAAGCGUGGGGAGCAAACAGGAUUAGAUACCCUGGUAGUCCACGCCCUAAACGAUGGAUGCUAGUUGUUGGAGGGCUUAGUCUCUCCAGUAAUGCAGCUAACGCAUUAAGCAUCCCGCCUGGGGAGUACGGUCGCAAGAUUAAAACUCAAAGGAAUAGACGGGGACCCGCACAAGCGGUGGAGCAUGUGGUUUAAUUCGAAGAUACACGAAGAACCUUACCUAGGCUUGACAUUGAGAGAAUCCGCUAGAAAUAGUGGAGUGUCUGGCUUGCCAGACCUUGAAAACAGGUGCUGCACGGCUGUCGUCAGCUCGUGUCGUGAGAUGUUGGGUUAAGUCCCGCAACGAGCGCAACCCCCUUUCUUAGUUGCUAACAGGUCAUGCUGAGAACUCUAAGGAUACUGCCUCCGUAAGGAGGAGGAAGGUGGGGACGACGUCAAGUCAUCAUGGCCCUUACGCCUAGGGCUACACACGUGCUACAAUGGGGUGCACAAAGAGAAGCAAUACUGCGAAGUGGAGCCAAUCUUCAAAACACCUCUCAGUUCGGAUUGUAGGCUGCAACUCGCCUGCAUGAAGCUGGAAUCGCUAGUAAUCGCAAAUCAGCCAUGUUGCGGUGAAUACGUUCCCGGGUCUUGUACUCACCGCCCGUCACACCAUGGGAGUUGUGUUUGCCUUAAGUCAGGAUGCUAAAUUAGCUACUGCCCACGGCACACACAGCGACUGGGGUGAAGUCGUAACAAG